This is a long non-coding RNA of Clupea harengus (Atlantic herring), 494 nucleotides long. NCBI's taxonomy places the organism in Eukaryota, Metazoa, Chordata, Actinopteri, Clupeiformes, Clupeidae. The record is from Ensembl.
UGGAUGCGUAUCCAUGUUUUAAAGAUCCUAGACAUGCAAUCGAUGAGCUUGGGCGUAUCUUGGGUGGCACCAACAAAAGAUACAUCGAUGAGACCAAGAACAGAUGGGAAAACUUCUGUGCCAAUGUGCAGUUAUAUGGUCUGUGGAAGAAGGUCCUAAAAAAACCCUUUCCUAUUGAUACGUAUGGAGCGGAGUUUACCAUUGCCCUUCUGCAAUCACUACCCUCUCUCUUCCCAUCACCAAAACUGCCACCAAAACGUCUUGGAAAUGCCAGUGAGGCUCUCAUCCAUGUUCUCCAGGGAAACGAGGAUCCCAACAAAUACCUGGAGACGCGUCCACUGUCGUCCCCAGUCCUUUUGUACGAUGGCACUGUGUGCAUUCUCGCCAUUGGUGAGGUUCCUGUUAGCCCCCUGGAAAACGUAUUCGAUGGCAUGAUCACACUGAUGGCGUACUACUAUGCCUUUAAUUUAACGUACCCAAAAUGCAUUGCAACA